Long non-coding RNA from Gorilla gorilla gorilla (western lowland gorilla), 2067 nucleotides. RefSeq lists it as uncharacterized. The record is from RefSeq and is a predicted model, not a curated record. The transcript has 3 exons. NCBI's taxonomy places the organism in Eukaryota, Metazoa, Chordata, Mammalia, Primates, Hominidae.
UUGACGGCCUCGUGCCGGGCGCCGAGCGCUCCCUGGCGGCCUCAGCCGGCAUCGAAUCACCGCGGUUCCCAGAGAGCGUGAGGGGCUGGCGUGGACACACCGGGAAUGGACCGUACCCUUUUUCAAAAGGAACUCAUGAUGUAUACAAAUAGAAUGCUCUUCCCCUUCUUUGCUGGCCAAUUCCUACUCAUCUGUUAAAACCAAGCUUAGAGAUUACCUCUUUGAUGACAUCUCUACCAAGUCUGAUUGAGAACAUCUCUGUGAGCACAUAGUAUUCUAACAUCUCUAUCAUCAUACCAUGAAAUCAUCAGGCUAUCAGUUCUUUGAAUGAUGACCACAUGCCUAUCUUUUGGACACCAUCACCAACAGGGAAGAUGUGUGAAGGACCCACGGGUGCAGCAAGAGGAGUGAUCCCAUUCCUGCAUGCCUCAUUUGGCAUGACUUAAGACAAACAUGGAGGGAGCAUUGCAUCACCACAUCAGUCAGAAGCAAAAGAGGACAUCAGUUGGAAAGGGCCCUUUGGCACUGUGUAGCAACAAUCCCAAAAUCAUUGGACUACCCAGGGAGGACUGCCUGACACCUAUCAUGGAAUCUUCUGCUGGGGUGGGGUAACUACCCUGGGUGCGAGUGAUGGGGCAGAAAGGAGAUGGCAUGCAGUCAUACACAGAAUAAAAGAUGUCUGCUACCACUCUGUAGUCUUCAGGUGCUGUGGACCACCAGCAGUUCCACAGUCAGAACACUGACAAAGGAAGGCCAGCACAAGGUCCCCAACACAUGGCUCAUGACCAAGGGUUGGUAGAGGACUGUCGAUAGCCCAGAGACCUGAACUCAUCUUGUGUUUGACCCCAAAUAAGCAUGUCAACACUAUUCUGGAGACCCAAUUUCACACUAUUUUAUGAAAGAACUGUGCUAGCCAGCAAGAGUGACUGACUGACUUACCUGCAAGGUGCUCUCAAAUUCUUGUUUUCUUUUCUGUAGAGCUGGCAUCUCGCUUUGUUACCCUUACCCAGGCUGGUCUUGAACUCCUGGCUUUGAAGGAUCCUCCCACCUCAGCCUCCCAAAGUGCUAGGAUUACAGGCAUAAGCCACCAUGCCUGGCCUCAAAGAUAACAUAAUAAAUGAUUAUUGUUUUAAGCCACUGAGUUUUGUAGUGCUCUGUUACAAAACAGUAGAUAAAUAAUACAUACGACUAAAAACCUAGGUGUCAUCCUUGACUCCUCAUUCUCUUACAUCCCACAUCCAAUCUGCCAGCAAAUUAUAUUGGUUUUACCUUCAAAAUAUAUCCAGAAUCUACUUCCCACCACCUCUACCACUACCACUUUGGUGUGAACCUUCUAACUAUACUGCUUUUACCCUUGAAUCUCCACAAUUUAUUUUCAAACAGCAGCCAGUGUUACUGUAAGAAGGUAAGUCAUAUUAUGUUAGUCCUCUGCUAAAAACCCUGCAAUGGUUACCUAUUUUCCUCGGAACAAAAAAGCCAAAGUCCCAAGUCUUUCAAGCCCCUACAUGAUCUUCCCCUGCUACACUACCUCUCUGACUGCAUCUCCUGUACUUCUGCCCUAAUUUAUACCACUGCAGUGGCCUUCCUACUGUUCUUCACCUGUGCCAGGCAUGUUUCUACUUAAGGCUUUAGCCCUUACUGUUCCUCUGCCUGAAAUACUCUUUCCUUGGAUCCUGUGUUGUGCAAUCCCUCCCUCGUCUCCUCCAAGUUAUUGCUCCAGUCUCACUUCCCAAUGAAGCCUAUCACCUCUGUAAUUUCUACAUGUCCAUCUCUCUGAACUUCUUUUUUUUUUUUUUUUUGAGACAGAGUCUCACUCUGUCACCCAGGCUGGCGAGAUCUCGGCUCACUGCAACCUCUGCCUCCUGGAAUCAAGUGAUGCUUGUGCCUCAGCCUCGGGAGUAGCUGAGAUUACAGGUGCGUGCCACCACACCUGGCUAAUUUUUGUAUUUUUCGUAGAGACAGGGUUUCACCGUGUUGCGCAGGGUGGGCUUGAACUCCUGACCUCAGGUGAUCCACCCACCUCAGCCUCCAUCUCUCUGAACUUCCGAUACCAAUUAUCCUACUCUA